Molecule: unclassified non-coding RNA, 360 nt
Filed under: soil metagenome
Description: partial contains 5.8S ribosomal RNA, internal transcribed spacer 2, and large subunit ribosomal RNA
Rfam family: 5.8S ribosomal RNA (bases 1-120)
Source: RNAcentral
GAUGAAGAACGUAGCGAAAUGCGAUAAGUAAUGCGAAUUGCAGAAUUCAGUGAAUCAUCGAAUCUUUGAACGCACAUUGCGCCCGCCAGUAUUCUGGCGGGCAUGCCUGUCUGAGCGUCGUUUCGACCCUCGCGCCCGGCUUCUGUCGGGGGCGGUGUUGGGGAUCGGCCACACCCUUCAGUGGGAGGCCGGCCCCUAAAUUCAGUGGCGACCACGCUGUAGCCUCCCCUGCGUAGUACUAAAACCACCUCGCAGGCGGAGAGCGGUGCGGCCCGCCGUAAAACCCCCCAACUUUUACAAGGUCGACCUCAGAUCAGGUAGGAAUACCCGCUGAACUUAAGCAUAUCAAUAAGCGGAGGA